GGCUCGCUCAAUCUCCCUUAUAUCUCUCCCUCGUCCUCGUGCUCAAUCCAUCGCUACCGCCACUUUCACCCUCCACCAUCGCUUCCUCUUCAACAGAAUCAAAGGUUCCAAGCCACACACCUUGUUUCCCCAAUGUACGACGAUAGCGGAUCUUCUUUCAGAUCUCGGAUCUUCUCUGGUGACAUCUCCUCCGGCGACGACCUCCUUUGGCAACAUCUCUUCCCAUGGUAAUCUCCUCCGGUGAUGUCACCUCUAGCUUUAUCUCCUUUCCAUCCUAGCUCUGCGCCUUCUUUGCCAAAAUCCUCAACGCCUCCCUCAGCGUCUUCUUCGAUGACAUCUCUCUAUUGAAGAUCUGUAAAUCCAAGCCAUCACAAACAGAACAAGCACAACUCUCCCCUGCUUCUUUUGUUCUUCCUUGGCAGAAAAUUUAUGGGAGAAAGCCCUCGUGAGUGAAGCGUCAAUUUUCUUCUUAAUUUGUUAUUCUUUGGUUCAUUUAUGGCAACACUAACUCACACAACCUGCUCGAUGAAAUGCUUCAACUAAAUUCUGCCCUUAUCAAUGCUUUUAUGACAGAACUGGAGCCUGAUUCUCCGGUUAUCCAGAAGUACAUAAAGCAGAACAAUGACGUCACUCUCUGUGCACUCGAGAUGGGGAAGCAACCAUAUCAAGAAUCUACAGGAGAGUGAAAUUUUCAAUUACUUGUUGAUGACAUGGAGCAGUACAAAGUACUUGAGCAAAUUGGAAAAGGUGCUUUUGGUUCUACACUUCUUGUCAAGGAUCAGCAUGAGAAGAAAAAAUGUUACAGCUUUAGUGGUCCUGAUAUGCCAUGCAAACUAAAGAUCUAAUUUAUUGAGAAGAGGGUGUUUUGAAAGAUGUAUCGAACAGUGAAAACUACAGAUAGAGCAGCGGCUUCUUCAGGUACUUGGCAGCAUGUAUCAAAGCAAAUUGCUAGAAGUGAUUAGAAAUUGGAUCAAGAAAGUGAGAUUCCAUUGCCAAAGGAGUUAGAAAGUAGAUCUUUUGAAGCGAAUAAUAGAGAAGCGUGAUUUUUUUUAUGAUAGAGACUUGAUGUAUUAAGAGUUACAUAUUAAGACUUUUAAUACUUUAUUUGUAUAGGAGUCAUUUUUUUUAUUUCCAAUACUAAAAAAAUUAUAUAUUAUGUUUAAUAUUUUAUUUAUGAGUUAUGUAAUAUUUUGUUGAUGAGUUA
This is a long non-coding RNA of Arachis stenosperma, 1204 nucleotides long. RefSeq lists it as uncharacterized. NCBI's taxonomy places the organism in Eukaryota, Viridiplantae, Streptophyta, Magnoliopsida, Fabales, Fabaceae. The record is from RefSeq and is a predicted model, not a curated record. The transcript is spliced from 10 exons.